This 240-nucleotide ribosomal RNA is filed under the name uncultured bacterium. Its description in RNAcentral is "partial 16S ribosomal RNA". It matches the Rfam family "Bacterial small subunit ribosomal RNA", at positions 1252 to 1500 of the family's 1533-position model. The record is from RNAcentral.
AGCCAGUGAUGGCAUGCGAAUCUCGAAAGCCUAUCUCAGUUCGGAUUGGAGGCUGAAACCCGCCUCCAUGAAGUUGGAUUCGCUAGUAAUCGCGCAUCAGCCAUGGCGCGGUGAAUACGUUCCCGGGCCUUGUACACACCGCCCGUCAAGCCAUGGGAGCCGGGGGUGCCUGAAGUUCGUUACCGUAAGGAUCGACCUAGGGCAAAACUGGUGACUGGGGCUAAGUCGUAACAAGGUAAC